CAGUCGCCACGGGAAUACGUAGGUGGCAAGCGUUGUCCGGAAUUAUUGGGCGUAAAGGGCUCGCAGGCGGUUUCUUAAGUCUGAUGUGAAAGCCCCCGGCUCAACCGGGGAGGGUCAUUGGAAACUGGGGAACUUGAGUGCAGAAGAGGAGAGUGGAAUUCCACGUGUAGCGGUGAAAUGCGUAGAGAUGUGGAGGAACACCAGUGGCGAAGGCGACUCUCUGGUCUGUAACUGACGCUGAGGAGCGAAAGCGUGGGGAGCGAACAGGAUUAGAUACCCGUGUAGUCCCUGUCCUUAUACC
Molecule: ribosomal RNA, 301 nt
Filed under: uncultured bacterium
Lineage: Bacteria
Description: partial 16S ribosomal RNA
Rfam family: Bacterial small subunit ribosomal RNA
Source: RNAcentral